GGGGGCGUGAAUAGGCUCACUUUAAAAUUUUUCUGAAAAACUUCGCAGCGGUAUUAGAUACGUCGGAACUUCCAACACUGUGCCGGAACUUCCGACAGGAUCGGAACUUCCGGUACAGGGGUGGAACUUCUGACGGUAGGAAAUGAGCUGAACGACAUUCAAAAUAAAACUUAAAACUGCUAAUUCUAUUUGAGUCAAAAGAUUAUAAGUGAUGACUAGAGACUACUGCAGGUGAUAUAUAUGAGAGGAACUUCACAAAUAUAUAGAUCGGCACAAAAUAAGAUUCUAGGUCAAUAUGAACUAGAGGAACACAACAAGCACAUGAGACAAAGGAUUUGUUUACCGAAGUUCAUUUCCACAAAGGAAGCUACGUCUCCGUUGAGGAGCUCACAAAGAGCUGGGUCCUCACUAACCCUUUACCUCUCUCAAUCAACCACAAAGAAGGAUCGAGUUACUUAUUAUAAAUCCUCACAAAGAGGAUAGGUGAUACAAACUUCCCGGGCACACCACACAAAGAGGGCGCUCAAACGGGCGACGCCUAACCGUCUAGAAGCAAGCUUCAAGACCAACAAACACGAAUCAAAUGCUGAAGAUGCUUCAAGUGCUCUUGAGAUGAACUUGUUAAACCUCACACUCAAAUCCCCAAGUCUCACAUCUCCAAUCCUUUUGUCACCCAAGCCCUAGCUCAAAUUCUCAAGGAUUUAGCUCAAAAGGGAGUGGGGAGGAGUAUUGAAUGCUCUAGAGGGUGUUUUGCUCGGGGUAGGUCAGCAGCAAUGAAGGAGGAGGCUGAGGGGGUAUAAAUACACGAGCUCCAAAAACUAGCUAUUACAGUGCUGUUAUGUGCUUGUCAGAACUUCUGACACAGGGUCGGAACUUCCAACACAGUUAUAUUAAAACGGCUGAGAACCCCUCAUCGGAAGUUGUUAGAAACUUCCGGUGCUUAUUAUCGAAACUUCCUACACAGGGUCGAAAUUUCUAACACUGUUAAAUUAAAUCCCUUGAGCACCCCCAGUCGGAAGUUUCUGAAAACUUCCGAUCAGUAUCAGAACUUCCAACCCCAUGUCGGAACUUCUGAUACUCAUAGGAACUGUGAGAAAAUAAACGUGCAGGUGCGUGAGUGGUGUCUCUCAUGGGUGGUUAGCAUCUCAAAUGAGCACUUUGACAUCUUCAAGCUAUCCAUCCACAUCCUCCUUUAUAGUACGGUGUUCCUAUACUCACAUUCAAAAAUAGAAAUUAUAAAAAUGUCUUCUUUUAAGUUCCAACACCGUUCCUCAACAAAAUUGGGGUUCUUUUCUUACACCUUUGCACUUUUUAGAAUUUAAACCUGUCAAUCACUCGAUAAGAUCAUUAGUCUCUUAAUCAUGCAUGUCAUCAACACCAAAACCCACUUAGGGGGCCAAAUGCACUUUCAAUCUUCCUCUUUUUUGUGAUUGAUGACAACACAAUUAAGGCUCACAUGAGAAAUAUAUAAUCCUUUUGAAUCCAAACAUAUAGGUAGGCCCUCC
RNAcentral lists this long non-coding RNA (1505 nucleotides) under Setaria viridis. RNAcentral describes it as "long non-coding RNA (SVIR_LNC004868)". Lineage: Eukaryota; Viridiplantae; Streptophyta; Magnoliopsida; Poales; Poaceae. The record is from RNAcentral.